Molecule: non-coding RNA, 294 nt
Organism: Vicia faba (fava bean)
Lineage: Eukaryota; Viridiplantae; Streptophyta; Magnoliopsida; Fabales; Fabaceae
Source: the annotation of a GenBank genome assembly
AUGCAUCCGCAUGUCCCUCCGUUCACCUCCGCCGCGAUCUCCUUCCACGUCUCGCCAACACCACUCAUCAACCACCUUCAGCCGCAGACAUCAGACGCUACCGCCGCGAAUCUGAUAGAGAACGCCGCAUCACCCCGCCGCGAAUCUGACCAAGAAUACUGCACCACUGUUGACCGCCCACGAACACAUCAACCGCCGCUCAACCAUCUCACUGCCGGCAUCUCAUUUUGCACCGGUAACUUCUUCCGUCUAGAUUUUGUUUUUUUCCCUUUAUGUUCUACUAAUAUUCAUUAA